GAUGAACGCUGGCGGCGUGCCUAAUACAUGCAAGUCGAGCGAACGGACGAGAAGCUUGCUUCUAUGAUGUUAGCGGCGGUCGGGUGAGUAACACGUGGAUAACCUACCUAUAAGACUGGGAUAACUUCGGGAAACCGGAGCUAAUACCGGAUAAUAUUUUGAACCGAAUGGUUCAAAAGUGAAAGACGGUCUUGCUGUCACUUAUAGAUGGAUCCGCGCUGCAUUAGCUAGUUGGUAAGGUAACGGCUUACCAAGGCAACGAUGCAUACCCGACCUGAGAGGGUGAUCGGCCACACUGGACGUGAGACACGGCCCAGACUCCUAGGGGGAGCAGCAGUAGGGAAUCUUCCGGAAGGGGCGAAAGCCUGACGGGGCAACGCGGAGUGAGUGAUGAAGGUCUUCGGAUGGGAGAACUCUGUUAUUAGGGAAGAACAUAUGUGUAAGUAACUGUGCACAUCUUGACAGUACCUAAUCAGAAAGCCACGGCUAACUCCGUG
Molecule: ribosomal RNA, 497 nt
Filed under: uncultured bacterium
Lineage: Bacteria
Description: partial 16S ribosomal RNA
Rfam family: Bacterial small subunit ribosomal RNA
Source: RNAcentral